CGUAGGUAAAUUGGGCAUGGAGGGACUCUGACCCAGCCAUGCCGCGUGCAGGAAGAAGGCGUUAUGCGUUGUAAACUGCUUUUUUUUAGGAAGAAGGAUCUCUUGCGAGAGAAGGUGACGGGACUAUAAGAAUAAGCACCGGCUAACUCCGUGCCAGCAGCCGCGGUAAUCA
Molecule: ribosomal RNA, 172 nt
Filed under: uncultured Bacteroidota bacterium
Lineage: Bacteria; Pseudomonadati; Bacteroidota
Description: uncultured Bacteroidetes bacterium partial 16S ribosomal RNA
Rfam family: Bacterial small subunit ribosomal RNA
Source: RNAcentral